UCUGUCCCUCAGGUUCUCUCUCUUCCUUCUACCCCUCUCUCUUUUCUUCCUUUCAGGGCUAGUGACCCGUCUGUCCUCUGUCCCUCAGGUUCUCUCUCUUCCUUCUACCCCUCUCUCUUUUCUUCCUUUCAGGGCUAGUGACCCGUCUGUCCUCUGUCCCUCAGGUUCUCUCUCUUCCUUCUACCCCUCUCUCUUUUCUUCCUUUCAGGGCUAGUGACCCGUCUGUCCUCUGUCCCUCAGGUUCUCUCUCUCUUCCUUCUACCCCUCUCUCUUUUCUUCCUUUCAGGGCUAGUGACCCGUCUGUCCCUCAGGUUCUCUCUCUCUCCUUCUACCCCUCUCUCUUUUCUUCCUUUCAGGGCUAGUGACCCGUCUGUCCUCUGUCCCUCAGGUUCUCUCUCUCUCUCCUUCUACCCCUCUCUCUUUUCUUCCUUUCAGGGCUAGUGACCCGUCUGUCCUCUGUCCCUCAGGUUCUCUCUCUUCCUUCUACCCCUCUCUCUUUUCUUCCUUUCAGGGCUAGUGACCCGUCUGUCCCUCAGGUUCUCUCUUCCUUCUACCCCUCUCUCUUUUCUUCCUUUCAGGGCUAGUGACCCGUCUGUCCCUCAGGUUCUCUCUCCUUCUACCCUUCUCUCUUUUCUUCCUUUCAGGGCUAGUGACCCGUCUGUCCUCUGUCCCUCAGGUUCUCUCUCCUUCUACCCUUCUCUCUUUUCUUCCUUUCAGGGCUCGUGACCCGUCUGUCCCUCAGGUUCUCUCUCUUCCUUCUACCCCUCUCUCUUUUCUUCCUUUCAGGGCUAGUGACCCGUCUGUCCUCUGUCCCUCAGGUUCUCUCUCUCUUCCUUCUACCCCUCUCUCUUUUCUUCCUUUCAGGGCUAGUGACCCGUCUGUCCUCUGUCCCUCAGGUUCUCUCUUCCUUCUACCCUUCUCUCUUUUCUUCCUUUCAGGGCUAGUGACCCGUCUGUCCCUCAGGUUCUCUCUCUUCCUUCUACCCCUCUCUCUUUUCUUCCUUUCAGGGCUAGUGACCCGUCUGUCCUCUGUCCCUCAGGUUCUCUCUCUUCCUUCUACCCCUCUCUCUUUUCUUCCUUUCAGGGCUAGUGACCCGUCUGUCCUCUGUCCCUCAGGUUCUCUCUCUCUUCCUUCUACCCCUCUCUCUUUUCUUCCUUUCAGGGCUAGUGACCCGUCUGUCC
Molecule: long non-coding RNA, 1181 nt
Organism: Oncorhynchus keta (chum salmon)
Lineage: Eukaryota; Metazoa; Chordata; Actinopteri; Salmoniformes; Salmonidae
Exons: 3
Source: RefSeq, a predicted model, not a curated record